Antechinus flavipes (yellow-footed antechinus) is the source of this 1177-nucleotide long non-coding RNA. RefSeq lists it as uncharacterized. The transcript is spliced from 2 exons. NCBI's taxonomy places the organism in Eukaryota, Metazoa, Chordata, Mammalia, Dasyuromorphia, Dasyuridae. The record is from RefSeq and is a predicted model, not a curated record.
UCUCUUCUGCUCGAAAAUGCCUUUUUGAUAAAGUUGCAUCCAUGUGAGAUGGCUGCAAAUCACAACUGAUCUCUCCAUCCCCAAUGGCGGGGGAUGGGAGAAGGAAAGGAAAUCUGGUCUGGGUGAGAGCCUCCUGCUCUGCCCUUCUCUCAAGGGAUCAGGGACAACAGGCUGGGCCACAGGGAGAACAGGACAGAGAAAAUGAGCAGAGCUGCUCGGGCCUGCAAACUUUGCUGGAACCUCAUCGAGGGACAAAGGAACUGGUUUUUUAAAACCCAAACCAGCAUGGAGUCGGCUUCCCCUGCCUGGCCUUUGGAAUCUGUGGGUGGACCCGAGCGGAAAAGACCCAGUGAGCGUGCUAAAGGCUCCUUCCUCUAGGAGUGAGGGGCUAGGCCGGGAACACCGCCUUCUCGGUCAUCGGGGGACCUGAGUCGGUGAUGUCAUCUCUCUGUCAUUUUGCGAGCUGCCUCCUCCCCAUCCCUCCCUCCUUGGGAAGCUGGUCCAUGAGAAGUCCUGUGAAAUCCAUCUGGCCUUGAAGAGCCGGGGCCCAAGCGUCUGUGGAUCAAGGAGAGAGAAUACAUUUUGCUUUAAGGCUUGUGGUCCCGUGGUAAGCGGACUGGAUUUGAAGUCACCAGGGCUGAGUUUACAUCCCAGUUUUGUGAAUUUCUACCCCGGUUCUAUGAGUAACCCUCCAUCCCUCUGGACCUCAUUUCGCUCUUGUCGACACCAAAGGGGGUGGAUCGGAUGACCCCUGAGGUCCUCUUCACCUCUGUCAACUCUAAUUGGUGUCGAGCUUCCCCUUGACCUACCUGCUGGUUCACAAUCCCCCCCCCCCUUUUUUUUCCAGAGUACAUGUUUUCACCCUGCCAGAAUGACUGUGAGAAAAACAAAAAUGGCAGAGUUAUAGAGGGCUGGACUCGUCGGAUCCCGCAAUUACCAGCUGUGUGACCUUGAGUGGGAUCAAAUGCAAUUACAUAUAGAAAUCACUGUAAAUAUAUCAGCCAUUUAAAAAAAAAUCGGCAUAGACAAUUCCAAGAGAACAUUUAAAAGACUCCCGACUCCUCCUCAAGAACGCAGGCUAGCAAGAAAAUCUCCAGGAAAAAAUAAAAGAGAAAGAGGAAGGAUUGCGUUAGUUUUUCUAAUUUUUUCUUCCAAGAAAAUAAACUUUUAAAACUUG